RNAcentral lists this ribosomal RNA (336 nucleotides) under Triticum aestivum (bread wheat). Its description in RNAcentral is "partial small subunit ribosomal RNA". The record is from RNAcentral. Lineage: Eukaryota; Viridiplantae; Streptophyta; Magnoliopsida; Poales; Poaceae.
AUGAAUAGCACAACCGUCCCAAUUAUGAAUUGGAACGUCCGUGGAUUGAACUCGCCGGCGAAGAGGGCCACCAUUUGCGAGGUUGCAGACGCACACAGCCUCGCCCUGCUGUGCUUGCAGGAAACGAAGAUCGACGCCCGGACACCAGAGCUAGCCAGGGAGGUUGGAGGCCCCAGACUUGACAACUGCGCCGUGCUGCCAGCGCUGGGCACCCAAGGCGGUGCCGCCAUUUUCUGGGACUCCACCAAGAUCACUAUAGCCACACAAUUUGUAGGGCAGUUCUCCAUCACUGCAAGAGCGCUUCUCCCCCACGGUGGCAUCGCCUUCUGGAUCACC